RNAcentral lists this ribosomal RNA (485 nucleotides) under uncultured bacterium. RNAcentral describes it as "partial 16S ribosomal RNA". It matches the Rfam family "Bacterial small subunit ribosomal RNA", at positions 30 to 507 of the family's 1533-position model. The record is from RNAcentral.
AUUGAACGCUGGCGGCAUGCCUUACACAUGCAAGUCGAACGGCAGCACGGGUGCUUGCACCUGGUGGCGAGUGGCGAACGGGUGAGUAAUACAUCGGAACAUGUCCUGUAGUGGGGGAUAGCCCGGCGAAAGCCGGAUUAAUACCGCAUACGAUCUACGGAUGAAAGCGGGGGACCUCGGGCCUCGCGCUAUAGGGUUGGCCGAUGGCUGAUUAGCUAGUUGGUGGGGUAAAGGCCUACCAAGGCGACGAUCAGUAGCUGGUCUGAGAGGACGACCAGCCACACUGGGACUGAGACACGGCCCAGACUCCUACGGGAGGCAGCAGUGGGGAAUUUUGGACAAUGUGCGAAAGCCUGAUCCAGCAAUGCCGCGUGUGUGAAGAAGGCCUUCGGGUUGUAAAGCACUUUUGUCCGGAAAGAAAUCCUUGGCCCUAAUACGGUCGGGGGAUGACGGUACCGGAAGAAUAAGCACCGGCUAACUACGUG